This 253-nucleotide ribosomal RNA is filed under the name uncultured bacterium. Its description in RNAcentral is "partial 16S ribosomal RNA". It matches the Rfam family "Bacterial small subunit ribosomal RNA", at positions 524 to 776 of the family's 1533-position model. The record is from RNAcentral.
UACGGGGGGGGCAAGCGUUGUUCGGAAUUACUGGGCGUAAAGGGCUCGUAGGCGGCCAACUAAGUCCGACGUGAAAUCCCCAGGCUUAACCUGGGAACUGCGUCGGAUACUGGAUGGCUUGAAUUCGGGAGAGGGAUGCAGAAUUCCAGGUGUAGCGGUGAAAUGCGUAGAUAUCAGGAGGAACACCGAUUGCGAAGGCAGCUCGCUGGGACGUAACUGACGCUGAGACGCGAAAGCGUGGGGAGCAAACAGG